Long non-coding RNA from Neopsephotus bourkii (Bourke's parrot), 1283 nucleotides. RefSeq lists it as uncharacterized. Lineage: Eukaryota; Metazoa; Chordata; Aves; Psittaciformes; Psittacidae. The record is from RefSeq and is a predicted model, not a curated record. The transcript is spliced from 3 exons.
UUCAUGGAGAAAAUAUCAAAUUCAAUUGAUUAAUCAAAGGGGACAUUCUUUGAUGGAAGGGAAUCUUUUCAAACUUUAUUAAAAAUAUUGAAUAAACCAUGAGCAAUCAAAGUUCAUAAUCUGAACUCCUGCUCUGCUUUCUUGGAUACAGUAAGCCUUCAAAAUAACUCAUAAAGCGGGAGAUGAGAUGUCUGUAAUAAAAUACAUAUAUAAAAAUAUAAGAAAAAAGGCAACUCAGAGGAGCGUAUUCCAAAACCUUUAUCUUGAUCUGGAUCUCAGCUACACCAUUGUGCUUCCUCUGCUUAUACUGGAGUCACUGUAUUUCCACUAUAGAGGCUGAUAAUAAGAUUUGAGCCUUGAACCUUUUUUCACUGAGUAAUUAGUAGCAUGCUUGCACCCUCUGUCUUUUCAUGGAGGGUUUUCCCCUUAUUCUAAAAGAAGAAAUCAGAUUGCUAUCAAAGCUGCCUAGUGAUGAAAGAUAAUCUAGGUAUAUGACCUGCAGGCUGAAUGACUGUCCUCUCUGUUUCAUGUUCCAGGAAGGAAAGCGAUCAUAUGGCCAAAUGCAGGAUGGCUGGUGGGAAUAAAGACAAGUGAAAUGGAAAUUCCCAGAGCUGAGGAGAAAUCAGAACUCAAACAGGUGGGACUACUACCUGCCCAGUACACAGUUUAGUACAAGAAACAGCACAAUGACUUCCAUGCUGUGCAUGGCUUGGAACAAAUCAGUCCUUCUGGUCAGGAGCAGGGGAGAGAGCUGGAGUGAAGAAAUGCCAUCCAGUGUCUCAGAAAAGUACCCGGGGCUGUGCAGUGAGGACCAGCAUGAAGGUGUAGGGGCUGGAAAUCCCUCCUGGUUUCCUGACACCCUUUCUCUACGAUGCAAAAGGGACAAAUCUUGAAAUUCUUCAUAAAACUCCAGUGGAGGUAAUGGAGAGUUUUUAAUCUAGAAGGAUUAAGACAUGGGGAUUCAAUGUCUGGUUCAUAGAGGUGAGAUGAACUUCUAUCUUGCUUGUUUCUUCUGUCGUGGCUUGGUGGAAGGAAAGCAUCCUGAGCAGUCUUCAUACUUGAUGGGAGGAGACUGUGUGACAUGUAAACAAAUAUUGGAAUUCAUUUCUUGCUGAUCACAGUCUCCUCUUCUGAGACAAAAACUCCAGGAUCCUGGAGAAUAAAAGCCAUCUGACAACAUUCAUGGUGCACCUCAAGGGCCUGGUUCCCCUUCCCACCACACUUGUCUGUUCAUAAACUGGGCACUCAUAGGCUGUGUACAGCUUCUCAACACUUCUUGGGAU